This 755-nucleotide ribosomal RNA is filed under the name uncultured bacterium. RNAcentral's name for it is "bacterial SSU rRNA". It matches the Rfam family "Bacterial small subunit ribosomal RNA", at positions 59 to 827 of the family's 1533-position model. The record is from RNAcentral.
CAGUCGAACGAGCGAGAGAGAGCUUGCUUUCUCGAGCGAGUGGCGAACGGGUGACUAUCGCGUGAGGAACCUGCCUCAAAGAGGGGGACAACAGUUGGAAACGACUGCUAAUACCGCAUAAGCCCACGGGUCGGCAUCGACCAGAGGGAAAAGGAGCAAUCCGCUUUGAGAUGGCCUCGCGUCCGAUUAGCUGGUUGGUGAGGUAACGGCCCACCAAGGCGACGAUCGGUAGCCGGACUGAGAGGUUGAACGGCCACAUUGGGACUGAGACACGGCCCAGACUCCUACGGGAGGCAGCAGUGGGGAAUAUUGCACAAUGGGGGAAACCCUGAUGCAGCGACGCCGCGUGGAGGAAGAAGGUCUUCGGAUUGUAAACUCCUGUUGUUGAGGAAGAUAAUGACGGUACUCAACAAGGAAGUGACGGCUAACUACGUGCCAGCAGCCGCGGUAAAACGUAGGUCACAAGCGUUGUCCGGAAUUACUGGGUGUAAAGGGAGCGCAGGCGGGAAGACAAGUUGGAAGUGAAAUCCAUGGGCUCAACCCAUGAACUGCUUUCAAAACUGUUUUUCUUGAGUAGUGCAGAGGUAGGCGGAAUUCCCGGUGUAGCGGUGGAAUGCGUAGAUAUCGGGAGGAACACCAGUGGCGAAGGCGGCCUACUGGGCACCAACUGACGCUGAGGCUCGAAAGUGUGGGUAGCAAACAGGAUUAGAUACCCUGGUAGUCCACACCGUANACGAUGAUUACUAGGUGUUGGA